This 403-nucleotide ribosomal RNA is filed under the name uncultured bacterium. Its description in RNAcentral is "partial 16S ribosomal RNA". It matches the Rfam family "Bacterial small subunit ribosomal RNA", at positions 30 to 526 of the family's 1533-position model. The record is from RNAcentral.
AUUGAACGCUGGCGGCAGGCCUAACACAUGCAAGUCGAGCGAGCGGCGGACGGGUGAGUAAUGUAUGGGGACUGCCCGAUAGAGGGGGAUAACUACUGGAAACGGUGGCUAAUACCGCAUACUAUCGGAUAACCCAUAUGGGAUUAGCUAGUAGGUGGGGUAACGGCUCAGCUAGGCGACGAUCUCUAGCUGGUCUGAGGGGAUGAUCAGCCAAACUGUGACUGAGACACGGCCCAGAGUCCUACGGAGGCAGCAGUGGGGAAUAUUGCACAAUGGGCGCAAGCCUGAUGCAGCCAUGCCGCGUGUAUGAAGAAGGCCUUAGGGUUGUAAAGUACUUUCAGCGGGGAGGCGUUACCCGCAGAAGAAGCCCCGGCUAACUCCGUGCCAGCAGCCGCGGUAAUUC